RNAcentral lists this ribosomal RNA (402 nucleotides) under uncultured bacterium. RNAcentral's name for it is "bacterial SSU rRNA". It matches the Rfam family "Bacterial small subunit ribosomal RNA", at positions 355 to 774 of the family's 1533-position model. The record is from RNAcentral.
UCGGGAAUUUUGGGCAAUGGGCGAAAGCCUGACCCAGCAACGCCGCGUGAGGGAUGAAGUAUUUCGGUAUGUAAACCUCGAAAGAAUGGGAAGAAUAAAUGACGGUACCAUUUAUAAGCUCCGGCUAACUACGUGCCAGCAGCCGCGGUAAUACGUAGGGAGCAAGCGUUGUUCGGAUUUACUGGGCGUAAAGGGCGCGUAGGCGGCGGGGUAAGUCACUUGUGAAAUCUCUGAGCUUAACUCAGAACGGCCAAGGUAUACUGCUGUGCUAGAGUGCGGAAGAGGCAACCGGAAUUCUUGGUGUAGCGGUGAAAUGCGUAGAUAUCAAGAGGAACACCUGAGGCGAAGGCGGGUUGCUGGGCCGACACUGACGCUGAUGCGCGAAAGCCAGGGGAGCAAACG